AACAUAGCUUUUUGAAUUUAUGGAAAGUUACUUCUGCCCAGUGAUUCAUAGUUAAACGGCCGCGAAAGUGCUAAGGUAGCAUAAUAAUUUGUCUUUUCAUUGGAGGAUAGUAUGAAUGGAUGAACGAGGCUCGCCUGUCUUCAUGUUUUAUUAUAAUAAAUUGAUUAAUAAGUGAAAAAUCUUGUUUUAAAAAGAAAGACGAGAAGACCCUAUAGAGUUUUAAUGUAUAAUGCCAAUGCAAUGAAGUGUGAGUAUUGGUAUGGCAUUUUUAUUGGGGCAAUAAUAGAAUUUUAAAAACUCUAUUUAUAUUUUUUUGUUUUCGCAAAAAGAAUGAUCCUCAAAGAGAAUUAAGAAAAACUACCUUAGGGAUAACAGCGUAAUCCUGCCUGAGAGAUCUAAUCGAAGGCAGGGAUUGCGACCUCGAUGUUGGACUAAGAGUACAGCAAGAUGUAGAAGUUUUGUGAGUGAGCCUGUUCGGCUUUUAAUCUCUUACAUGAUCU
This 500-nucleotide ribosomal RNA is filed under the name Antarctothoa delta. RNAcentral describes it as "partial 16S ribosomal RNA". It matches the Rfam family "Bacterial large subunit ribosomal RNA", at positions 1812 to 2606 of the family's 2925-position model. Lineage: Eukaryota; Metazoa; Bryozoa; Gymnolaemata; Cheilostomatida; Hippothoidae. The record is from RNAcentral.